This is a small nuclear RNA of Rhinopithecus bieti (black snub-nosed monkey), 163 nucleotides long. Its record names the gene U1. It matches the Rfam family "U1 spliceosomal RNA". Rfam says of the family: U1 is a small nuclear RNA (snRNA) component of the spliceosome (involved in pre-mRNA splicing). Its 5' end forms complementary base pairs with the 5' splice junction, thus defining the 5' donor site of an intron. NCBI's taxonomy places the organism in Eukaryota, Metazoa, Chordata, Mammalia, Primates, Cercopithecidae. The record is from Ensembl.
AUACUUACCUGGCAGGGGAGAUACCAUGAUCACGAAGGUGGUUUUCCCAGGGCGAGGCUUAUCCAUUGCACUCCGGAUGUGCUGACCCCUGCGAUUUCCCCAAAUGUGGGAAACUCGACUGCAUAAUUUGUGGUAGUGGGGACUGCGUUCGCGCUUUCCCCUG